UUGAAGGUUGUCUGCAGAAUCCAUGGC
Molecule: non-coding RNA, 27 nt
Filed under: Homo sapiens (human)
Lineage: Eukaryota; Metazoa; Chordata; Mammalia; Primates; Hominidae
Source: RNAcentral